AGUGAACGCUGGCGGUAGGCCUAACACAUGCAAGUCGAACGGCAGCACAGUAAGAGCUUGCUCUUACGGGUGGCGAGUGGCGGACGGGUGAGGAAUACAUCGGAAUCUACUUUUUCGUGGGGGAUAACGUAGGGAAACUUACGCUAAUACCGCAUACGACCUACGGGUGAAAGCAGGGGAUCUUCGGACCUUGCGCGAUUGAAUGAGCCGAUGUCGGAUUAGCUAGUUGGCGGGGUAAAGGCCCACCAAGGCGACGAUCCGUAGCUGGUCUGAGAGGAUGAUCAGCCACACUGGAACUGAGACACGGUCCAGACUCCUACGGGAGGCAGCAGUGGGGACUAUUGGACAAUGGGCGCAAGCCUGAUCCAGCCAUACCGCGUGGGUGAAGAAGGCCUUCGGGUUGUAAAGCCCUUUUGUUGGGAAAGAAAAGCAGCAGGUUAAUACCCCGCUGUUCUGACGGUACCCAAAGGAUAAGCACCGGCUAACUUCGUG
Molecule: ribosomal RNA, 492 nt
Filed under: uncultured bacterium
Lineage: Bacteria
Description: partial 16S ribosomal RNA
Rfam family: Bacterial small subunit ribosomal RNA
Source: RNAcentral